CAGUAGCCGCGGUAAUACGAAGGGUGCAAGCGUUACUCGGAAUUACUGGGCGUAAAGCGUGCGUAGGUGGUGGUUUAAGUCCGUUGUGAAAGCCCUGGGCUCAACCUGGGAAUUGCAGUGGAUACUGGAUCACUAGAGUGUGGUAGAGGAUAGUGGAAUUUCCGGUGUAGCAGUGAAAUGCGUAAAGAUCGGAAGGAACACCUGUGGCGAAGGCGACUAUCUGGGCCAACACUGACACUGAGGCACGAAAGCGUGGGGAGCAAACAGGAUUAGAUACCCGCGUAGUCCCUGUCUCUUAUAC
Molecule: ribosomal RNA, 301 nt
Filed under: uncultured bacterium
Lineage: Bacteria
Description: partial 16S ribosomal RNA
Rfam family: Bacterial small subunit ribosomal RNA
Source: RNAcentral